Brienomyrus brachyistius is the source of this 935-nucleotide long non-coding RNA. RefSeq lists it as uncharacterized. The record is from RefSeq and is a predicted model, not a curated record. The transcript has 3 exons. Lineage: Eukaryota; Metazoa; Chordata; Actinopteri; Osteoglossiformes; Mormyridae.
AUCUUUUUUAAUCAUAAUUUUCUUCGUUCAUUCCUGCCGACAGUUGGGGCAGAGACUGUCAUAUGCUCUGGGUAACACUCACAGCCAGACGCGGCCUAACAGUAAAACAUUUAGAAAUGUGACAAAAGGUCUUCUGUUUGUCCAUUUAUUCCUACAUAGAGUUUUAAUCCCGUUUACAUGAAAAGCUGUACUUUUUGUGUCCCUGACUAUUCCAAAUUUCUUUUUGCAGCAAACUGACAAACCGAAUAAGCCCAGGACACUGGAAAAUACUUGAAAAACAUGGAUGUUCCUUGACAGAUUGGUUCUGUGGACUGUGGUGUGUUCAUGUUGAUUGUUGUCACGUCACGGAUCGGGGAAGCAGGAGCAGGAAGACGGAGAAUCGGGAAACAAAGGAUUUAUUGGGGAAACCAGCUAGGAACACGGAACAAUAGAAGUAGCGACUUAAAUGACAUGAUUGGGGAAACAUAUUUUGAAGCGGAGUUAAAUACAUAGGACUAAUGAAAACAACUGGAAACAGCGAAUGACAUCGGGGUUCCACACGAGGUUAACGAGGGGGCGUGGCACACGGGAGGAGCGGACAAGCGGCGCAUGACAAUUGUAAGACAGACCACCUUGAAUUGUUGGACUUGUAAUACAGAGAAUGUAUUGAAGUAUUCCCCCCUCCCCUCCCUUUUAUCAGUAUGCACUCUGCAUGGCCUUGGUGUGUCUUGAGUAUUACAAAAUGCACCAUGAACUGUCUAUAUUAUAUUUUUAUUUUAAGUCAUAAUAUGUGAAUUUGAUCUGUUGUUUUUCAGUGAGUUGCAGGGAUUUGACAAAAACAUCCUUUUAGAAAUGCGUGAGGAAGGUCAAGACUCUGGUCUCCAGCUCACCGCUCUCUCUUACAUUUCCAUGGCCAUUUUGUCCGAUAGUAUUAUUGGAUUUUUCUAUGCUAUAUA